Molecule: long non-coding RNA, 450 nt
Organism: Dermacentor silvarum
Lineage: Eukaryota; Metazoa; Arthropoda; Arachnida; Ixodida; Ixodidae
Exons: 3
Source: RefSeq, a predicted model, not a curated record
AGAAGCGGCCCCGCCCAAGACGACCCGGGCGAAGCGGAAGCCGGCUGCACAAUCUCCGCGGCUCCUCAUGAAGCCCGGUCUUGGACCACAUUUCGGGCUGGCGAUGACGGCGGGGAGAGUACGGGAGCCAGUGCCGACGGAGGACCGAGGUCAAGGGAGUGCGCCGAGCUGUUUCCGCUACGACGCAGCAAGAGGAUCCAGUCAAGAAGGAAGCGGCCCCACCCAAGACGGCCCGGGCGAAGCGGAAGCGGGCUGCACAAUCGCGUUCGUUCUAGGACUACUAAGCUGGGCAAUGAAGUCGCCAACACGAUCGGUGUCAUAAUUUACAAAUAAAUGAUUAUCUUCAUUUAAUUCUGUUUGUGUCAGCAAAUCAGCCGAGCCUACGUGCGUUUCUAGGGGCAGUGCUUAUUUCAACAAAAGCUCCCGGUAACACGUUUACCCUUAAUGCAU